CGGUAGUAGACGAUUUGACCCAGUCCCCAGCUGGGCACGGUACCUCGCACUGCUGGUUAAACCAUGCUUGCAGUCACUAGGAUGAGGGAACCUUCACGCAAACUGCACGUACUGUAAAGGAGGCUAGUAACGUGAUUUAUUGUGAAAAGAUUUACAUUUGAGGUUGCACUGGAGAAAUUACAAUUGUAGCAACUGCUAUAUAUGCUCUCUCAGCAUCUGUGAAUGAUACUAAAUGAUUUACUUCAACACAAGAUCUUAAGACUUAUCACAACAUAUUGACUACUACAUUCACUACCCCGGCAGCCUGUAAAGGCAUAUUUACUUUGCUAAUUGAAAUAAUUUCAUAGGUGCUAUUCAUCUGACGUAUUGCAUGUGCAUUAUCAAUACUGUAUUGUGUAUUGCAUUAUUGUGUUGCAUAUUGUAUAUACAGUACUGUAUUGCGUGUGCAUUAUCAUUACCAUCAUUAUGUAACACAGUGGAACCUCGAGUGACGAGCGACUCCAGUUACGAGCAUUUCGAGUAAUGAGCUAGUCACUUGAAGAAAAUUUGUCUCGAUUAACGAGCAAACCACAUGGUGCUUCCUAGCAUUCCCACUGGUUCUCGGAUGCCUCCGACGACAGUGUUAUUGUUGUUUCGCAAGACAAGCAUCUCACAUGAUGAGCUUGGUGCCGGAACGGAUUAAAUUUGUUAAGCGAGGCGUCACUGUACUUCACUGGCAGACUGAAGUUCACCCCAUAUGAAGCAAAUUUAUCAGAAGGCAUUUAUUGAAACCAUGUAACAAUGUUAAAUUUCUUCCACCUCAGUUUCAGUAAUUUGUAGUAUACAGUAUAUAUACUCUUAAGUAUUAUUGUUUAAUGAUAUUAUUCUCGUUUAAUUCAUUUUGUGCUGUACGAGUGUCAAUUCCUUGCAAAAGUAUGUUAUGUUGUUAUUAUUAGAAACCUAUGCAGUACAUUAUAAAGUCAUUCAAACAUUAAUUCAAGCUUAAAUUUUGUUUAAAAAUAUUUAAUUUAUUCAAAAGAAAGCUCAUAGUAUAAACUUCUAACAUCUUCAUUCAGUGUUCAUAAUUCUUACAAAAACCAUAAUCCUGCAGAAAUAGAGUACAGUAUAUUCAAGGUUUGUGUUUUAAGUACUGUACUUCUCAUACAAAUGUUUAUUAGUAACAGUGUACUGGGUAUACUAAAUAUAAUUGAUGUCAGUGUAA
Procambarus clarkii (red swamp crayfish) is the source of this 1201-nucleotide long non-coding RNA. RefSeq lists it as uncharacterized. Lineage: Eukaryota; Metazoa; Arthropoda; Malacostraca; Decapoda; Cambaridae. The record is from RefSeq and is a predicted model, not a curated record.